GUGCGUCAGCGGUUUCCACAGAAUUAGAUUUUAUCUAUGGCAGUGAGAGUGGAGGGAGGGGCACUAGAGUCAAGCCGCUGAGUUGAUGACUGUGGUUGUCCGGUGAACACGCACACAGUAACACUCAUGUGCACACAAAUGACUACACAGAGGCGUGUGGGAGGUCUCACAGAGUGCUGGGGUCUUUCUGCCUCUUCAGAACUGCUGGGUACAAUGGAACCCUUGUCAAAUGGGUUCACACAUUGCUGAUCAGCUCCAGUUUCCUCUUGGCUGCUGACGUUCCGGCUGUAACAGAAGGAGGCUUGGACUUCUUGGAGCGAAUGGAGGAGCCUCUGCUGGAGUAGCCACUCAUCACCGACAUGGUGUCAUCAUCACCACCAGCCUGAAGGGAAUUCCUGUAGGAGAUGAGGGGGAGCCAGCAGUCCUCUCGCUGCAGUGCCAUCUGGAAUGUCAUGAAGCGCUCCAGGUACAUGUGGCUGAGGAGCAGAGGGAGGCCACAGAGAGAAGAUUAACAAACCUGUGCAUCCGUGCGUACAGAGAACACACGCUACACACAUAACCAGGUGCACUUUCCAACUAGGGGGUUAAAUCUGAAACACCAGUUGCACCAGUUGUCACAAACACCUGUUGCUCUGAGACACUGAAGCCUCCCACCAGUCAGCUCAGCAAAUAAAAUACUUACACAGUCCUCUUGUCUUGUCUCAUAAGCUUGGAGGAGAACUCGCUGAGGAUGUCUAAGAAAGCCAGGUGGAGGGGAGGGCCUCCUUCUCCCUGGGGACUGGGAUCCUUAAACGAAAACUCAAUACCAUCCCUGAGAGUUGCAGAGAAACAGAGAAGAUGAAUAACAGACAGUGAGCAGAGACAAUGAAUUUAUUUCAUGGAGAUAAAAACUAAAGAAAGUUGAUCAGACUGUGUGGAGAAGAGUCAAAGUCUAAAGCAUUGCAAAAGAGUAUUUUUUGCAAUCGGUUACAACUAGGAAUACUGUGGUUAAUAAACCUUCUUGAUAGGUGAUCAUUAAUCUGAUUAACAAUUCAUUUAAGCUUGAUAUAUUCAAACAGAUCCAAUAUCAACUUCCCUAAUCUUACAGCGCUCUACUUAACAAGAUAUCCAAUUUUGUUUCAGCUGGCUUUAGGUAUUGUUCUCUGUGGUGUAGUCCUGUCUGAAUAUUGUUAUGCUGUCAGCUCAGAGGUUGUUAGCCUCAAUGGGAUUUACCUGUUUAAAUAAAGGAUGAAAAACUUAA
Long non-coding RNA from Pleuronectes platessa (European plaice), 1240 nucleotides. RefSeq lists it as uncharacterized. The transcript has 2 exons. Lineage: Eukaryota; Metazoa; Chordata; Actinopteri; Pleuronectiformes; Pleuronectidae. The record is from RefSeq and is a predicted model, not a curated record.